UACGUAGGAUCCGAGCGUUGUCCGGAAUUACUGGGUGUAAAGGGCGUGUAGGUGGGUCUUUAAGUCGAUGGUGAAAUCUUACAGCUUAACUGUAAAACUGCCGUCGAUACUGGAGGCCUUGAGUGCGGCAGAGGGAGAUGGAAUUCAUGGUGUAGCGGUGAAAUGUGUAGAUAUCAUGAAGAACACCAGUAGCGAAGGCGGUCUCCUGGUCCGUAACUGACACUGAGGCGCGAAAGCGUGGGGAG
This 245-nucleotide ribosomal RNA is filed under the name uncultured bacterium. RNAcentral's name for it is "partial 16S ribosomal RNA". It matches the Rfam family "Bacterial small subunit ribosomal RNA", at positions 524 to 768 of the family's 1533-position model. The record is from RNAcentral.